CAGUGUCUUCUGAUCCCUCCUGUCUCAGCCUCCAGUAUUUAUGCUGCAGUAGUUUAUGUGUCGGGGGGCUAGGGUCAGUCUGUUACAUCUGGAGUAUUUCUCUUGUCUUAUCCGGUGUCCUGUGUGAAUUUAAAUAUGCUCUCUCUAAUUCUCUCUUUCUCUCUUUCUGUCUUUCUCUCGGAGGACCUGAGCCCUAGGACCAUGCCUCAGGACUACCUGGUAUGAUGACUCCUUGCUGUCCCCAGUCCACCUGGCCGUGCUGCUGCUCCAGUUUCAACUGUUCUGCCUGCGGCUAUGGAACCCUGACCUGUUCACCGGACGUGCUUGUUGCACCCUCGACAACUACUAUGAUUAUUAUUAUUUGACCAUGCUGGUCAUUUAUGAACAUUUUAACAUUUUAACAUCUUGACCAUGUUCUGUUAUAAUAUCCACCCUGCACAGCCAGAGGAGGACUGGCCACCCCUCAUAGCCUGGUUCCUCUCUAGGUUUCUUCCUAGGUUUUUGGCCUUUCUAGGGAGUUUUUCCUAUGGAGUUUUUCCUAGCCACCGUGCUUCUUUCACAUGCAUUGCUUGCUGUUUGGGGUUUUAGGCUGGGUUUCUGUGCAGCACUUUGAGAUAUCAGCUGAUGUACGAUGGGCUAUAUAAAUACAUUUGAUUUGAUUUGAUUUUGACCAGGGAUGUUCUCUUGAUAAGUGUGUGAAUUGGACCAUUUUCCUGUUUUCACACCAGAGUGUUUUUUCCCUGUUUCACACCAGAGUUUUUUUCCCUGUUUCACACCAGAGUGUUUUUUCCCUGUUUCACACCGGAGUGUUUUUUACACUGUUUCACACCAGAGUGUUUUCCCUGUUUCACACCAGUGUUUUUCCACUGUUUCACACCAGAGUGUUUUUUCCACUGUUUCACACCAGAGUUUUUUUCCCUGUUUCACACCAGAGUGUUUUCCCCUGUUUCACACCAGAGUGUUUUUUCCACUGUUUCACACCAGUGUUUUUUACACUGUUUCACACCAGUGUUUUUUUCCCUGUUUCACACCAGAGUGUUUUUUACACUGUUUCACACCAGAGUGUUUUUUCCAAUGUUUCACACCAGAGUGUUUUUUCCCUGUUUCACACCAGAAUGUUUUUCCCUGUUUCACACCAGAGUGUUUUUUUCGACUGGCUUGAACAAUGCCACUUUAAAAGUCUCUCAGAUGGUUGGACUGGGGUUCAAAGUGAAUCAGAGAGCCUGAGGAAACCCAGCAGAACACAUAGAACAGGGGUAUUCAGCUUUGGCCCUUCGAGGUCCGUAGCCUGCAGAACAGGGGUAUUCAGCUCUGGCCCUACGAGGUCCGUAGCCUGCAGAACAGGGGUAUUCAGCUCUGGCCCUACGAGGUCUGUAGCCUGCUGCUUUUCUGUUCUACCUGAUCAUUAACAGCACCCGUGUGACCCACCCGCUGUCCCAGGUUUAAAUCAGUGCCUGAGAAUUUAAAAAAUGCUGUGGAAUUGGCUUCAAUGUGCAGAGUAUAGUUGGAGAGGUAUAGAGCCAAUGGAAACCCAUCUGCCACUAGUCAGAGCAGGACCUUUAAUUCAGUUAUUACAGAAAACAGUACAGUGUUUCUAUAUGAAAUGGGACCUCAUGAGAACUCUCCAUACUGGUUGAUGUCAAAUUUCACAUUCUGCAUUUACUACAGUUAAGGUCAAAACUUUAAC
This 1687-nucleotide long non-coding RNA is filed under the name Salmo salar (Atlantic salmon). Its description in RNAcentral is "lncRNA (ENSSSAG00000109862.1)". Lineage: Eukaryota; Metazoa; Chordata; Actinopteri; Salmoniformes; Salmonidae. The record is from RNAcentral.